GGGUUUGAGGUUCCCGAUCCCGCCGGCACCAUCGUAACUGGCACUGCCGCCGCGGCCACACCCUCGGCCGCACUCGGUACCACUGCAGGAGGCGCAGGGUGCACGGCCUCCACGGGCGCCGCCGCCGCCGCCUGCUGCCGCUCUAAGGCCUCCUGGAGCCUUUGGAUUUGCUCCCCUUGGCGCUGAACGGACUCAGCUUGCUGCCGC
RNAcentral lists this long non-coding RNA (207 nucleotides) under Ananas comosus (pineapple). RNAcentral's name for it is "long non-coding RNA (ACOM_LNC017087)". The record is from RNAcentral. Lineage: Eukaryota; Viridiplantae; Streptophyta; Magnoliopsida; Poales; Bromeliaceae.